ACAGGAUGACCUAGCAAUUCAAUAUAACUUUAAGAUGUUUUGCUAAAAAAUGGAAUAUACUGAACCUGCUCUUGCAAGUUUCUGUUUGGAUACUCCCAUGCUCUGUAAACACGUGCACUAUAAAAGUAAAGCUCAUCCUGAGCUUGCAGCCCAGAACUUUGGAGCGUUAGCUUGUCUGGGGCUGCCAGCUUAAUAAAUCUGAGUUCUCCAACCCUCCGAGUGUGGUGCUUGGCUUCUCAAAGGAGCAAUUUCUGCAACAUUUCUGGAGGCCCCAAAGAGAUUCCAACCACUGGACCGAUUGGUGCUCUGACUCUCUGGACAGCCGAGCCCCAACCGGACUCAGUGGAGGGUCGGAUCAACUCACCAGGAAUGGCCACAGGAUCAGGAGUCACCCCAUGGAUCCACCACACCCAGCUGAAGAGGGCAGCACCUCUAGAUGGGUGAAAGACCUGGACUGCCAAAGCUCAUCUGAAUCAGCCACUUUGGGUCUUCCUACAGAGACAACCGAGUCCCGUCUGAGAUCUUCAGCCCUGCUCCAGUCACUCCAGGGCUGACUGACCUACGCACGGUGGAAGCUUGAGGAAUUCAAUGAGGGACAUCUGAGGGUCAGGGUUAUGAUGACACCCUGACUUGUAAAGAUUGGUUGCACCACUGGCCUUGAUGUUUUCUAUAGGCUAAACACAAAGGGUUGUGUUGGCUAUAAUCUAUGCAAAGGUAAUGGAAUCCUGGAGAACUAUUUGGGGGGUGGUUUUCUUACCUAGGGUGAUUCAAAAUGCCUGUGGGAAUAGUCCUACUUCUCCUUGGGACCUGUCUCCUUUUACGUUGCCUCUCACCCUCAUUCAUGAGGGUAGUUUCUAGCCUAGCUGAGGCCACUGCCAUUAGGAGGACCACCACAAGUCUCCUAGCCCUAAGAGGUUAUCAUCCCCUGGGCUUAGAAGAUAAGAAGUUGAUGCCUUAUAAGAUUUAAGGGGCAUCAAGAGGGGAGAUUGAAGAGGAAAGCUAGAAACUUUCACUCAGCCAAAAACUAUUCCAUGCUUGUUAUGCUUUUGUGAAAUAUGCUUGCUGCGCCAAGAAAAACAGAAAAACAGGAUGACCUAACAACUGAAUGUAACUUUAAGAUGUUUUGCUAAAAAAUGGAAUAUACUGCAUCUGCUAUUGUAAGUUUCUGUUUGGAAACCUCCAUGCUCUGUAAACAUGUGCACUAUAAAUGUAAGCUCACCCUGAGCUCGGGGCCCAGAACUUUGGAGUGUUAGCUCAUCUAGGGCUGCUGGCUUAAUAAACCUGA
Molecule: long non-coding RNA, 1285 nt
Organism: Hippopotamus amphibius kiboko
Lineage: Eukaryota; Metazoa; Chordata; Mammalia; Artiodactyla; Hippopotamidae
Exons: 3
Source: RefSeq, a predicted model, not a curated record